ACCGGGAUUCCCUCAGUAACGGCGAGUGAAGCGGGAAAAGCUCAACAUGAAAACCUGGGAGCCUCGCUCUCCGGAUUGUAUUCUCUAGAGGCGUGUUCAGUGGCCGCUCGCGUAUAAAUCCUUUGGAAAAGGGUGUCAUAGAGGGUGAGAUCCCCGUAUGUGACGCGAUGUGGGCUGCGUUACGACGCGUUUUCGGCGAGUCGGGUUGCUUGAGAUCGCAGCCCUAAUUGGGUGGUAAACUCCAUCUAAAGCUAAAUACUGACAAGAGACCGAUAGCAAACAAGUACUGUGAAGGAAAGAUGCAAAGAACUUUGAAAAGAGAGUUAAAAGUACCUGAAACCGCUAAGGGGGAAGCAAAGGCCGCCAGUACGCGCUAGGGAGUCUCCAGCGUCGCCUUGUGCGGCGUGUAUCGACUUUUAAGCGGGUUCACGUGGACGUGGCGCGCGGGAUGGGCGGGGAGUGCUGAUUAAGCGUCUCUGGCUACCGUGCGGCGUGUUGAGGCCUUUCCCCGCAAGGGUGAGGACGUGGACGAAAUGGCGAUCUCUGACCCGUCUUGAAACAGGGAA
This 566-nucleotide ribosomal RNA is filed under the name Rhodella sp. Its description in RNAcentral is "eukaryotic LSU rRNA". It matches the Rfam family "Eukaryotic large subunit ribosomal RNA", at positions 68 to 664 of the family's 3401-position model. Lineage: Eukaryota; Rhodophyta; Rhodellophyceae; Rhodellales; Rhodellaceae. The record is from RNAcentral.